UUGCUGGAUCCUCCGGUAGUGCUG
Molecule: unclassified non-coding RNA, 24 nt
Filed under: Mus musculus (house mouse)
Lineage: Eukaryota; Metazoa; Chordata; Mammalia; Rodentia; Muridae
Description: oocyte_clustered_small_RNA7318
Source: RNAcentral